RNAcentral lists this transfer RNA (85 nucleotides) under Felis catus (domestic cat). It matches the Rfam family "tRNA". From Rfam's summary of the family: Transfer RNA (tRNA) molecules are approximately 80 nucleotides in length. Their secondary structure includes four short double-helical elements and three loops (D, anti-codon, and T loops). Lineage: Eukaryota; Metazoa; Chordata; Mammalia; Carnivora; Felidae. The record is from Rfam by way of RNAcentral.
GCCUGGGUGGCUCAGUCGGUUAGGCGUCCGACUUGGGCUCAGGUCACGAUCUCGCAAUUCGUGGGUUCAAGCCCCACAUCGGGCU